GGAGAGAUGGCAGAGUGGUCUAUUGCACCGGCUUGCUAAGCCGGAGUGGGGUUUUCCUCACCGCAGGUUCGAAUCCUGUUCUCUCCG
Molecule: transfer RNA, 87 nt
Filed under: Planctomycetaceae bacterium
Lineage: Bacteria; Pseudomonadati; Planctomycetota; Planctomycetia; Planctomycetales; Planctomycetaceae
Also listed under: 1 other name
Description: tRNA-Ser
Rfam family: tRNA
About the family: Transfer RNA (tRNA) molecules are approximately 80 nucleotides in length. Their secondary structure includes four short double-helical elements and three loops (D, anti-codon, and T loops). Further hydrogen bonds mediate the characteristic L-shaped molecular structure. tRNAs have two regions of fundamental functional importance: the anti-codon, which is responsible for specific mRNA codon recognition, and the 3' end, to which the tRNAs corresponding amino acid is attached (by aminoacyl-tRNA synthetases). tRNAs cope with the degeneracy of the genetic code in two manners: having more than one tRNA (with a specific anti-codon) for a particular amino acid; and 'wobble' base-pairing, i.e. permitting non-standard base-pairing at the 3rd anti-codon position.
Source: RNAcentral